UACGGAGGGUGCAAGCGUUACUCGGAAUCACUGGGCGUAAAGGGCGUGUAGGCGGGGACGCAAGUCAGAUGUGAAAACCACGGGCCCAACCUGUGGCCUGCAUUUGAAACUGUGUUUCUUGAGUACUGGAGAGGCAGACGGAAUUCCUAGUGUAGCGGUGAAAUGCGUAGAUAUUAGGAGGAACACCAGUGGCGAAGGCGGUCUGCUGGACAGCAACUGACGCUGAGGCGCGAAAGCGUGGGGAGCAAAAAGG
RNAcentral lists this ribosomal RNA (253 nucleotides) under uncultured Oscillospira sp. RNAcentral describes it as "partial 16S ribosomal RNA". It matches the Rfam family "Bacterial small subunit ribosomal RNA", at positions 524 to 776 of the family's 1533-position model. The record is from RNAcentral. Lineage: Bacteria; Bacillati; Bacillota; Clostridia; Eubacteriales; Oscillospiraceae.